Molecule: long non-coding RNA, 3467 nt
Filed under: Mus musculus (house mouse)
Lineage: Eukaryota; Metazoa; Chordata; Mammalia; Rodentia; Muridae
Description: predicted gene, 26686
Source: RNAcentral
AUGGUUCCAGAUUUCUUUCCUAGGGUUUCUAUCUCCAGUGUUGCCUCACUUUGAGUUUUCUUUAUUGUUUCUACUUCCCUUUUUAGGUCUAGUAUGGUUUUGUUCGUUUCCAUCACCUGUUUGUAUGUUUUUUCCUCUUUUUCUGUAAGGACUUCUACCUGUUUGAUUGUGUUUUCCUGUUUUUCUUUAAGGACUUGUAACUCUUUAGCAGUGUUCUCCUGUAUUUCUUUAAGUGAUUUAUUAAAGUCCUUCUUGAUGUCCUCUACCAUCAUCAUGAGAUAUGCUUUUAAAUCUAGGUCUAGGUUUUCGGGUGUGUUGGGGUGCCCUGGACUGGGCGAAGUGGGAGUACUGGGUUCUGAUGAUGGUGAGUGGUCUUGGUUCCUGUUAGUAGGAUUCCUACGUUUACCUUUCGCCAUCUGGUAAUCUCUGGAGUUAGUAGUUAUAGUUGACUCUGUUUAGAGAUUGUUCUUCUGGUGAUUCUGUUACCGUCUCUCAGCAGACCUGGGAGACAGAUUCUCUCCUCUGAGUUUCAGUGCUCAGAGCACUCUCUGCUGGCAAGCUCUCUUACAGGGAAGGUGCGCAGAUAUCUUGUUUUUGGACCUCCUCCUGGUCGAAGAAGAAGGCCCAAAACAGGGCCUCUCUCAGAAGCUGUGUUGCUUUGGCAGUUCCCAGAAGCUGUGAGCUUCUGUGGUGCAGACUCUCACCUGUGCAGACUAAAAUCCUAAGUUCCAGGGAGUCCUGGAACCAAGAUGGUGACCGCUGCUCCUGAGGCCGAGGCCGUCUCCCGAGCCAGGCGGACACCUGUCCUCUGGUCCGGAUGGUGGCCGGUUAUCUGCGGCCCGCCCAGGCUGCUGCCUCAGCGGCUCUGUGCUUCUGCCCGUCCCAGAAGCUGUCCGGUUCUCUGGCGCACCCUCUAACCUGUUCAGACUAAUUUCCUAAAUUCUGCUGAGUCCCGGAACCAAGAUGGCGACCGCUGCUGCUGAGGCUGAGGCCGCCUCCCAAGCCAGGCGGACACCUGUCCUCUGGUCCGGAUGGUGGCCGGUUGUCUGCGGCCCGCCCAGGCUGCUGCCUCAGCGGCUCUGUGCUUCCGCCCGUCCCAGAAGCUGUCCGGUUCUCUGGUGCACCCUCUAACCUGUUCAGACUAAUUUCCUAGGUCCCGCGGAGUCCCGGAACCCAGAUGGCGACCGCUGCUGCUGAGGCUCUCAUGCUCCUCUUGGUUAUGCAGACCUCCCCAGCACUUUUAAGUUCCUGCCUAAGGAGAAAGAAGUGUGCAGAGAUCCAGCCAUCACUAUCUCCUAGCUACUCUGUACCUCCACUUCUUAUGUUAGAGGAAAACUUACAUGAAUCAGCUCUUUCCUUCUACCACUCGGGUCCCUAGAAUGGAACUCAGGUCACGAGGCUUGACAGCAAGAACCUUUACCUGCUGAGUCAUCUCACCACUUAAAUCUCCAUUUUUGAAAGGACAGUUAUCUCUACCACCCAACCCCUGGACCUUAGCAGCUCGGGACCAUUCAGUGUCUAAUGCCUAAAGUUAGAUUUCAAGCUUUGUCUUAGAAAUUGAUUGUUGUAGUGCCACCUCUUCAAGUUAUCCACUGGAUUUUACUGUUUCCUACUGAGCCCAGGACCUGGGUGCUAUCACAUGGCAUCUCUCAGCCUGUGUCUGGCACAUAGCCAACCCAGAAAAGACACCUGCUAAAUGACUACAUGGAUGAUAUUCAACAAUCGGGUUCACCAGAAGCUGUGGAAAAGAUACCUAGGGUACAAAAGAAGAAGACACCUAAGAGCUGCUGUGGCAGUGCCAGAUGCUAGAUGCCACUUUGUGUCACAGUCUUUGGGAGACCAGAUGUGAGAUGAAAAACACUUUGAAAGCUGAGACUGGCAGAGCCAGGGAAGGCAGAAAGGGUGAGGUAACAGGAUAGAGAGGGGUCAUACAGAAAAGGAGGGCUGGUAUAAGUCCUGGAGUGACUCAUUCAUCAUUUAAUUUUGGAUUUUUCUUUCCCUGAGUCCUCUGGGAAGUUGGUACUACCUGGAUUGUUAGGGUCAAAGCCUGGGCCCCUACAGCCACAGCAAGCUAUGUUCAGCCACCCGUCCUCAAUAGGCCUCUGACCUCCAGACACACAUGUGCACAAACAUUCCCAUGCAUACAUGCGCGUGCACACACAUCAUACACACACACACACACACACAGAGCUAAAUAAGCAUAAAUUCUACUGAUGUCAUACAUAGCUUUGCUCCCUGAAUUUUGCUUCAAUAUUCUGUCUCAGUCUCCCUGCUGUAUGGACACAGUAACAAACUCAAACACAAUAGAGAUGUCCCAGAAAGAAUUCUCAAAUGUCACAGAACUUGCACAUUAAAAUUUACUCCUGUUCUGGGGAUGUAGCUCAGUUGGUAGUCUGACCGGCACACAUGAGUCCCUGAGUUCCAUCCUUAGCAUCAUAGAAUGGAGCACUCUGCAUACCUGUCCUUCCAGGACUGUAAAGGAAGAUCAGGAGUUCAAGGUCAUCCUAGGCUACAUAGCAUUGAAGGUUAGCCUGGGCUCAAUGAGACCUUGUCAUAAAAGAAAACAUAUGUAAAUUCCCAGGACCUUAAGCAAGUAGAAAUGUAGCAUUCCUGUUGCUUUUCCCCCUGAGCCUUGGACUUUAAUGCUUUUAGAAGUAUGAAAAAUGUUCCCAGAAACAAAACAAGCAAGUGUACUCAUCUACAGCAGAAAGAGGAGAUGGUUUUGAACCAGUCCCAUCCAAUUCAAAUAAAGAGUGAGCAAACAGAAGUUCUAUUAAUACAGCAAGAACACACCCCUACCCAAGGGAAUGAAGUGGAUUUCUCGAGAUGACCAACACAGCACACCAUCUUCUUCCCAAGUUCAGAGCGCCCAUCUUUCCCCCUGCUCCUUCUGUCUUAAGGGAAAUCUCAAUCCCACUCAUCUCUUUGCCCACUUGAGACAAGUUCUGAGCUCAUAAGUUCUCGAUGUUGUAUCCUGGAGACAAACUCGGCAUCUCAAGCAGCUCUUCUGAGACAACAGUGAUACGGAGUGAGUCAUGGAACUUUCAAUAUCACACAUGAUCAGUGCCUUGCUCAGCCGUCAUCAGAGAAGCCUCCUCCUGCAGCAGAUGGGAACAGAUACAGAGACCCACAACUGGGCAAUGAUCAGAGAGUGAGAGAUCUUGGAACCGUCAGUCCUAAAUGGGAUGUCUCCAUCAGAUCACUCCCCUCAGGGUUCAGGAAACUCUGAAGAAGAGGAGACAGAGAGUGUAAGAGCCAGUGGGGAUGCAAGACACCAAGGAAACAAGGCCUUCUAGACACAGCAGGACUGAUGCACUUAUGAACUCAGAGACUGUUGCAGCAAGCACAGGGUCUGCACAGGUCUAAGCCAGAUAGGGUCCCAGCACUGAUCUGAAUGAGGUGGAUGCACAUCCACAUUCCUAACCCAGACGCUAUAUCCAAUAAACAACCAGUCAUAAAGGAAAAGU